CAAACAAAGUUUUCUUACACAAAUAAUGG
Molecule: ribosomal RNA, 29 nt
Filed under: Karenia brevis
Lineage: Eukaryota; Dinophyceae; Gymnodiniales; Kareniaceae
Description: partial Eukaryotic small subunit ribosomal RNA
Source: RNAcentral